GGCGGAAGAGGUUCAGACGGUGGAGGUGGAGGGGAUAAUGGUAGGUCAGAGUUUAACAAUCACCAUGGAAGCAAUAGCACCGAUGCUUAUUAUCAGAAGAUGAUUGAAGCGAACCCUAACAAUGCUCUUCUACUUGGAAAUUAUGCCAAGUUCUUGAAAGAGGUCCAUGGAGAUUUUGCCAAAGCAGAAGAGUUUUGUGGAAGGGCAAUUCUGGCUGACCCAAAUGAUGUAAGUGUUCUAUCGCUUUAUGCUGAUCUAAUUUGGCGUACACAGAGGGAUGCUCAACGAGCUGAAACCUAUUUUGAUCAAGCUGUUAAAAGUUCGCCAGAUGAUUGCUAUCUCCUAGCUUCAUAUGCACGGUUUCUCUGGGAUACCGAUGUCGAUGAAGAAGACGAUAUGGUAAACCAGUAUGAAACAGAGGAAAGUCACCCAUCGCUGCCCGGUUACUCUCAUGGAGCUCCUCACCAUUCUCCUCUGGCUGCAGCUUCCUAAUCUCAUCAAAUAUGUAACACACUACUUGCCACUGUAAGAUGACUUCAAUAAAAAGCAUCAGCUCAC
Molecule: unclassified non-coding RNA, 558 nt
Filed under: Hevea brasiliensis (rubber tree)
Lineage: Eukaryota; Viridiplantae; Streptophyta; Magnoliopsida; Malpighiales; Euphorbiaceae
Source: RNAcentral